AGGGAGCUGUGGUGAGGGGCCCUGAAGCAGGUCUGCAAAAAGGGGUGGGGAGGAGGAGAGAAGGGGCAGCCCCCAAAGAAAGAAAUGGGGC
Heterocephalus glaber (naked mole-rat) is the source of this 91-nucleotide non-coding RNA. The record is from Rfam. Lineage: Eukaryota; Metazoa; Chordata; Mammalia; Rodentia; Bathyergidae.